Molecule: ribosomal RNA, 753 nt
Filed under: uncultured bacterium
Lineage: Bacteria
Description: bacterial SSU rRNA
Rfam family: Bacterial small subunit ribosomal RNA
Source: RNAcentral
GUCUACCAUGCAGUCGAACGCGAAAGGGGAGCAAUCCCUAAGUAGAGUGGCAAACGGGUGAGUAACACGUGGGUGACCUGCCUUCGAGUGGGGGCUAACCUUCCGAAAGGAGGGCUAAUACCGCAUGACAUACCGUGUUUGGAUACACGGAUAUCAAAGCCGGGGAUCGCAAGACCUGGCGCUUGGAGAGGGGCCCGCGUCCGAUUAGCUAGUUGGUGAGGUAACGGCUCACCAAGGCUCCGAUCGGUAUCCGGCCUGAGAGGGCGGACGGACACACUGGAACUGAGACACGGUCCAGACUCCUACGGGAGGCAGCAGUGGGGAAUUGUUCGCAAUGGGCGAAAGCCUGACGACGCAACGCCGCGUGGAGGAUGAAGAAUUUCGGUUCGUAAACUCCUUUCGACCGAGAUGAAUACCCAUGGACCCAACACGUCUGUGGGCUGACAGUAUCGAGAGAAGAAGCCCCGGCUAACUCUGUGCCAGCAGCCGCGGUAAUACAGGGGGGGCAAGCGUUGUUCGGAAUUACUGGGCGUAAAGGGUUCGUAUGUGGCCACUUAAGUCAGACGUGAAAUCCCUCAGUUUAACUGGGGAACUGCGUCUGAUACUGAGUGGCUUGAGUGCAGAGAGGAAUGCGGAAUUCCAGGUGUAGCGGUGAAAUGCGUAGAUAUCUGGAGGAACACCGGUGGCGAAUGCGCAUUCUGGACUGUAACUGACACUGAGAAACGAAAGCCAGGGAGCAAACGGGAAUUAGAU